UUAGGCUGAAUCCACACCAGUAGGCAUGCUUUGAAGUGCUGACUGGAUUGAGUCCCUGCAGAGAGACGGAUGGAUAAAUUGUGGAUUAUCAUCAGCCUUCACCACCAACAACACAGAGUUGCUCAGUGCUGUGAAAACUGAGAUGUUGCUCUACAUACCCAGUAGCAGAAGAGAAAAUGUUUUUUAAGAUAAGGUACCAAAGAAUGUAUAAAGGUUUAGUAGCAAUUCAACAGGACUCCCAGGAUUUUGGUGCUAAUUAGAAGUCCCUGAACUCUGCCUAAGGAAUUUUGGAAUUUAGUCAAAGGGCAGACAGCUGUGGAUGACGAUUAUGGAACAGAUGAGCCAAGCCCUGCCAUUUUUGUCAUUCUGCUGGACAUUCACACCAGGCUGUUUUUUGUUGGCUCAACAUAGUGGUCUUCAUCUCUCCUCAGUCAGUGUAUCUAUGCAGACACACAAUAUCUAUCCACCUGCCUUUGACCACACUGUUACAUGUUUUGGCUUCUCAGUGGUUAACCCUACACCAGAAGAUCAUUAACUGCAGGUGUGAGAACCGGAGGCUGAAAACACAGCCUUGAAAGCGCAAACUGCACCUCAAUGCUGCUGGAGUAAUGCCUGCAGGGGCAACGUUUAGCACAUGGGCUGUGGGAAAAGUUGCCAUAUGCAAGAACUUGGAGGAAACUUACCUCUUGCCUUGAUCCCACCAGCCUGCAGAGUCUGACCCUGGGGUCUAGGGCUGUGCUCAUGAUUUUGAAGUCUUCCAGCACAAGAAAGCAACUUUUACUUAAGCACCUCUGGAUCAAGGCUAGGCAACCAGAUGAAAGCAGUUCAGUUACUGAACCUGUUUUCACUUUCAAAACUGAUACAGCUGUGAAACACCUCAAAAUGAAAUAAAGCUCUUCUGUUCUCACACAGUUGGCUAUUAUUUAAACAUGUAUACUUAAUUGGCUAGUGAGUUCUUUUCCACUGUUCAGGAGAUUUUAAAAAAUACUUAUAGCACCUUGGUGUUCAUGUUCACUGUAACUCAACGUCUGACUUUUAGAAACAAACUUUUAUAUUUUGGGUUUUGUUUUGUUGGUGGUGGGUUUUUUGUUUGUUUUGUUUCCCAGGGACUUGUUUAUUGAUUUUACAGUACAGAACUACAUAAAUUCUAUGAUUUUACUCUUGCUUAAUAUAUGGCUGGACCUCAUGCUGCUGAUCACAACUCUGAGGCUGGCAGUUCAGCCAGUUUUCAGCCCACUUUCCUGUUUAUUUCUCUAGCCCAUACUUCAUCAGCUGUCUAUGAGAAUGUAAUGGAAGACAGUGUCAAGGACCUUCUUAAGGCUUGUAUCUGAAUCUAUCCCAAAAGGCCAAUGUGAACUUUACAAAAAGUAAUAGCAAUAUCAUAUCUAAAAGAAAAUAAUUUCAGGAUAGAUAACUCUUAAUUUUCAUACUUCUAGAAUGUAACAUGGAAAAACAUUUUAUCUUUACAUACAAGCUCCACCUUUACCAUUAGGUUGGUAUUAUAAUUCAAACUUACAGACUGUUCCCUCAUUCCUAUCCACUCAUAGCAAAAAGCAGUACAAUAAAAUUUUAUAGGCCCAUCCACUGUACUGUGGUAUGACAGCUGUUACCAGCUGCACAAGUUUUAUGCUCAAUUUAACUACGUUACCAGGCAUUUCCCAAGUCACCUUCAAAUGAACAUUUUUUUCUCCUUCACAGGAAAUUUUAUAACUAGCAACUUCAAGUCCCUCUUCUGAAGAAUUCAAACUGAAAUUACCUAUGAAUUUG
Non-coding RNA from Anas platyrhynchos (mallard), 1767 nucleotides. The record is from RefSeq and is a predicted model, not a curated record. Lineage: Eukaryota; Metazoa; Chordata; Aves; Anseriformes; Anatidae.